UUUAUUGUGUUCUGCAGUUACAUAAAAGAUUCGAUAUAUUGUUGACCUUGGCUAAAAACAGUUGAAAACCUCUCUCUCUCUCUAUCUCAACUCAAUCUAUCUGUAUUCGUCAUCUGUUUCCGUGAUCUAUUUGGCUCCAUCUGACAUCUCGAUUUUAUAAUUUAUGCUGAGCAAGUGCUUGAUAUUUCCACGACAUAUUACAAUUCUCCUGUGUUUGAAGUUGUGUAUUGUGGGCUUGUGGACUUCAGCUUGCUUAUCUCAGUUAUAAGGCAGGGAUAGUUUGGAGAGGAUUGUCUGGACCGAACAUAGACUGAUAUUGCUGUAUUGGGAUAGACUACUAGAGCGUUUAGACUGGAAAAUAUUGGCGCACGGUUCAGCGCCCUUCGUCUUUGUGUAGCAAGCAGGGUGCAUAAGGUCACACCCCGUCAAGCUUCUACA
This is a non-coding RNA of Styela clava, 438 nucleotides long. The record is from RefSeq and is a predicted model, not a curated record. Lineage: Eukaryota; Metazoa; Chordata; Ascidiacea; Stolidobranchia; Styelidae.